GGAAAUUCUUUUAUCAGUUGCAUUUUAAGUGGCCUUAUUACUAUAAAUUAUAAUGUAAUUUCUUACUAUGUAUUUAACUGGAAAUAGACACUGUCUAUGGUACUGUUCAGUAAUAUUGGUUCUCAAGUGCUGCGUCUUAACAUUGUAUGCAUAUGUGAAUGAAGUUAUUCACAAAUUAUCUGCAACUUUGCUGGUCUAAUUAUCUUUGAUUAUAAUUCAUAUUUCAUAUGGUUCCUUUCUGUAGUUUUCCUUGGUUUGAAAAUGUGUAUCAACUAGCUCAUAUUUGAAGCAAAUGCUAUCUCUGUUUGAUCUUCUGAAAUUUCCCUUUAUGAAGUUGAUCCUACCCUAGGCAAAAAAAAAAUUCGUAUCCCUUUUAAAUCACACAAGUGGUAAGGUGGCUGUUUCAAAUCACAAAUUCUUCUUGGUUACGGAAGAGGGCCAAAAUCCUAGGGAACUCUAGGAAUACUGCUCACCCCUCAAAUAUCGGCAAGUAACAGGCUGUAAAUUCCUUGAGUGGUGUGCUUGCAUUUGGGGGGUGGGGAAAGAAAAAUAAGACACCCCUUGCAGAGGAUAGGUAUGAUAAAUAGGGACAAUCCAGUGAUUCAAUCUCUAUCUUACAGCUGCUUGAUACUGAAUAUGAGACAAGUUUGGGUUGGCUACUGAGAAUGAGAGGCAAUAGCCUGCUGGUGGCUUACUUGCCUCCUAACGCAGUGGUCAAGAGUGAAAAACUGCUUUUGCCAUUUAACGAUGCUCUUUUUCAUACUGACAGAGUAGGCGACGGCAAAUAGUUUUUUGUGAAUUGUGAUUUAUGACAACCAGUAAGUUGCUUUUUCACUAGUAUGAUGAGGAUCUGGCACCUUGUGUUGCUAUACCAUACAGUCAAGGUUUUGUAGUUGCAUCAUGAUUGGGUUUACCUGCCCAUGGCCAGAACAGAGUGUGCUGUUCUGUAUUACCCCAGGUAUAUUGCAUGCCAUAGUAAGAGUAUUAUGAACAUGUUAAGAUGGACCAUUUUGAUACAAACUAGUGUCCAUUUUUCCUGAUAUGCUCUGUAGUACUUAUUACUGCAGGUACAAAUUUGCUUUUUUAUUUUUGGAGAAGGAAAAUUGUUUUCUAUGAUCCGAAUUAGUAUUUGCAUGAAUGAUGCUACAAAUCUGCAUUAAAGUUGUUGCUUAUUUAUAAUUGAAUAAAAGAAAGGAGUAAAGCAUGUUACAGAAUUUACAAGAAAAGGGAGGAAAUUUCCCUGGACUUGAGACAGAAAAUAGUUGCCACAUUACUAGAAGGCUCUUCACCACUAUUCUUAUUCAUUCUUAAGUACUUUCUUUCUGAAAAACAAUUAGGUUUUACCAUUUCGUGUUUUAUUGUCAAACAGCCUUGCAAUUGCAAAAGAAG
Molecule: unclassified non-coding RNA, 1389 nt
Filed under: Hevea brasiliensis (rubber tree)
Lineage: Eukaryota; Viridiplantae; Streptophyta; Magnoliopsida; Malpighiales; Euphorbiaceae
Source: RNAcentral